CCCAGAGUGAUGUAAUGGUAACAUCCCUAGUUGACACAUGGUAGAAACCAUGCCCUUCGGGGGCCAGGGAGAUCCGGGUUCAAUUCCCAGUUCUAGGA
Xylariaceae sp. FL1651 is the source of this 98-nucleotide non-coding RNA. Lineage: Eukaryota; Fungi; Ascomycota; Sordariomycetes; Xylariales; Xylariaceae. The record is from the annotation of a GenBank genome assembly.